UCUUCUUUGCUGGCGACCGGCGCACGGGUGAGUAACACGUAUCCAACCUGCCUUUACUCGGGGAUAGCCUUUCGAAAGAAGGAUUAAUACCCGAUAGCAUAAUGAUUCCGCAUGGUUUCAUUAUUAAAGGAUUCCGGUAAAGGAUGGGGAUGCGUUCCAUUAGGUUGUUGGUGAGGUAACGGCCCACCAAGCCUUCGAUGGAUAGGGGUUCUGAGAGGAAGGUCCCCCACAUUGGAACUGAGACACGGUCCAA
This 253-nucleotide ribosomal RNA is filed under the name uncultured bacterium. RNAcentral describes it as "partial 16S ribosomal RNA". It matches the Rfam family "Bacterial small subunit ribosomal RNA", at positions 79 to 334 of the family's 1533-position model. The record is from RNAcentral.